This 440-nucleotide ribosomal RNA is filed under the name uncultured bacterium. RNAcentral describes it as "partial 16S ribosomal RNA". It matches the Rfam family "Bacterial small subunit ribosomal RNA", at positions 338 to 795 of the family's 1533-position model. The record is from RNAcentral.
CCUACGGGAGGCAGCAGUGGGGAAUAUUGCACAAUGGGGGAAACCCUGAUGCAGCGACGCCGCGUGAGUGAAGAAGUAAUUCGUUAUGUAAAGCUCUAUCAGCAGGGAAGAAAAUGACGGUACCUGCGGAAGAAGCCCCGGCCAACUCCGUGCCAGCCGCCGCGGUAAUACGGAGGGGGCAAGCGUUAUCCGGAUUUACUGGGUGUAACGGGAGCGUAGACGGCAGUGCAAGUCUGGCGUGAAAGGCGGGGGCUCAACCCCCGGACUGCUCUGGAAACUGGCCGGCUGGAGUGCAGGAGAGGUAAGUGGAAUUCCUAGUGUAGCGGUGAAAUGCGUAGAUAUUAGGAGGAACACCAGUGGCGCCGGCGGCUUACUGGACUGUAACUGACGUUGAGGCUCGAAAGCGUGGGGAGCAAACAGGAUUAGAUACCCUAGUAGUC